UACAGAGGUCCCGAGCGUUGUUCGGAUUCACUGGGCGUAAAGGGUGCGUAGGUGGCGUGGUAAGUUUGAUGUGAAAGCUCAGGGCUUAACCCUGAAAUGGCAUUGAAUACUACUGUGCUGGAGGUUUGGAGGGGGGACUGGAAUUCUUGGUGUAGCAGUGAAAUGCGUAGAUAUCAAGAGGAACACCAGUGGCGAAGGCGAGUCCCUGGACAACUCCUGACACUGAGGCACGAAAGCGUGGGUAGCAAACAGG
This 253-nucleotide ribosomal RNA is filed under the name uncultured bacterium. RNAcentral's name for it is "partial 16S ribosomal RNA". It matches the Rfam family "Bacterial small subunit ribosomal RNA", at positions 524 to 776 of the family's 1533-position model. The record is from RNAcentral.